Molecule: ribosomal RNA, 460 nt
Filed under: uncultured bacterium
Lineage: Bacteria
Description: partial 16S ribosomal RNA
Rfam family: Bacterial small subunit ribosomal RNA
Source: RNAcentral
CCUACGGGUGGCAGCAGUGAGGAAUAUUGGUCAAUGGGCGCGAGCCUGAACCAGCCAAGUCGCGUGAAGGAUGAAGGCCCUACGGGUUGUAAACUUCUUUUAUAAGGGAAUAAGGUGAGGGACGUGUGCCUUUUUGUAUGUAACUUAUGAAUAAGGCUCGGCUAACUCCGUGCCAGCAGCCGCGGGAAAACGGAGGAUUAGAGCGGUAUCCGGAUUUAUUUGGUUUAAAGGGUUCGUAGGUGGGUAUUUAAGUCAGUUGUGAAAGUUUGGGGCUCAACCAUAAUAUUGCCGUUGAAACUGGCAGCCUUGAGUACAUUUGAGGUAGGCGGAAUGCGUGGUGUAGCGGUGAAAUGCAUAGAUAUCACGCAGAACUCCGAUUGCGAAGGCAGCUUACUAAACUACCACUGACACUGAUGCUCGAAAGUGUGGGUAUCAAACAGGAUUAGAUACCCCUGUAGUC